UUAAUUGAAGAGUUUGAUCAUGGCUCAGAUUGAACGCUGGCGGCAGGCCUAACACAUGCAAGUCGAGCGGUAACAGAUUGAUAGCUUGCUAUCAAUGCUGACGAGCGGCGGACGGGU
RNAcentral lists this ribosomal RNA (117 nucleotides) under Photobacterium phosphoreum. RNAcentral's name for it is "partial 16S ribosomal RNA". It matches the Rfam family "Bacterial small subunit ribosomal RNA", at positions 1 to 107 of the family's 1533-position model. Lineage: Bacteria; Pseudomonadati; Pseudomonadota; Gammaproteobacteria; Vibrionales; Vibrionaceae. The record is from RNAcentral.